Molecule: non-coding RNA, 99 nt
Organism: Mytilinidion resinicola
Lineage: Eukaryota; Fungi; Ascomycota; Dothideomycetes; Mytilinidiales; Mytilinidiaceae
Source: the annotation of a RefSeq genome assembly
UCCGUUGUGGUCUAGGGGCUAGGAUUUGCCGCUCUCAUCGAGAGUCGUCACACUUGGUCAAGUGCCGGCAAGGCCCGGGUUCGAUUCCCGGCGACGGAA